RNAcentral lists this unclassified non-coding RNA (21 nucleotides) under Mus musculus (house mouse). Its description in RNAcentral is "oocyte_clustered_small_RNA2421". The record is from RNAcentral. Lineage: Eukaryota; Metazoa; Chordata; Mammalia; Rodentia; Muridae.
AAGCCAGAGCUCUGGGUACGA